This 427-nucleotide ribosomal RNA is filed under the name uncultured bacterium. RNAcentral describes it as "partial 16S ribosomal RNA". It matches the Rfam family "Bacterial small subunit ribosomal RNA", at positions 355 to 774 of the family's 1533-position model. The record is from RNAcentral.
UGGGGAAUAUUGCACAAUGGGCGCAAGCCUGAUGCAGCCAUGCCGCGUGUAUGAAGAAGGCCUUCGGGUUGUAAAGUACUUUCAGCGGGGAGGAAGGUGUUGAGGUUAAUAACCUCAGCAAUUGACGUUACCCGCAGAAGAAGCACCGGCUAACUCCGUGCCAGCAGCCGCGGUAAUACGGAGGGUGCAAGCGUUAAUCGGAAUUACUGGGCGUAAAGCGCACGCAGGCGGUCUGUCAAGUCGGAUGUGAAAUCCCCGGGCUCAACCUGGGAACUGCAUCCGAAACUGGCAGGCUAGAGUCUUGUAGAGGGGGGUAGAAUUCCAGGUGUAGCGGUGAAAUGCGUAGAGAUCUGGAGGAAUACCGGUGGCGAAGGCGGCCCCCUGGACAAAGACUGACGCUCAGGUGCGAAAGCGUGGGGAGCAAACA